GCAUGCAGGCUGAGCGGUAGAGAUUCUUCGGGAUCUUGAGAGCGGCGUACGGGUGCGGAACACGUGUGCAACCUGCCUUUAUCAGGGGGAUAGCCUUUCGAAAGGAAGAUUAAUACCCCAUAAUAUAUUAACUGGCAUCAGUUGAUAUUGAAAGCUUCGGCGGAUAGAGAUGGGCACGCGCAAGAUUAGAUAGUUGGUGAGGUAACGGCUCACCAAGUCAAUGAUCUUUAGGGGGCCUGAGAGGGUGAUCCCCCACACUGGUACUGAGACACGGACCAGACUCCUACGGGAGGCAGCAGUGAGGAAUAUUGGACAAUGGGUGAAAGCCUGAUCCAGCCAUCCCGCGUGAAGGACGACGGCCCUAUGGGUUGUAAACUUCUUUUGUAUAGGGAUAAACCUUUCCACGUGAGGGAAGCUGAAGGUACUAUACGAAUAAGCACCGGCUAACUCCGUGCCAGCAGCCGCGGUAAUACGGAGGGUGCAAGCGUUAUCCGGAUUUAUUGGGUUUAAAGGGUCCGUAGGCGGAUCUGUAAGUCAGUGGUGAAAUCUCACAGCUUAACUGUGAAACUGCCAUUGAUACUGCAGGUCUUGAGUGUUGUUGAAGUAGCUGGAAUAAGUAGUGUAGCGGUGAAAUGCAUAGAUAUUACUUAGAACACCAAUUGCGAAGGCAGGUUACUAAGCAACAACUGACGCUGAUGGACGAAAGCGUGGGGAGCGAACAGGAUUAGAUACCCUGGUAGUCCACGCCGUAAACGAUGCUAACUCGUUUUUGGAUUUUGUGAUUCAGAGACUAAGCGAAAGUGAUAAGUUAGCCACCUGGGGAGUACGUUCGCAAGAAUGAAACUCAAAGGAAUUGACGGGGGCCCGCACAAGCGGUGGAUUAUGUGGUUUAAUUCCAUGAAACGCCAAGGAACCUUACCAAGGCUUAAAUGGGAAAUGACAGGUUUAGAAAUAGACUUUUCUUCCGAAAUUUUUUCAAGGUGCUGCAAGGUUGUCGUCACCUCCUGCCCUGAGGUGGUUAAGUUAAAUUCCUGCAACAACCGCAACCCCGUCCAUUAGUUGCAAUCUUAAAUUUGGGGAACCUAUUGGGACUGCCUACGCAAGUAGAGAGGAAGGUGGGGAUGACGUCAAAUCAUCACGGCCCUUACGCCUUGGGCCACACACGUAAUACAAUGGCCGGUACAGAGGGCAGCUACACAGCGAUGUGAUGCAAAUCUCGAAAGCCGGUCUCAGUUCGGAUUGGAGUCUGCAACUCGACUCUAUGAAGCUGGAAUCGCUAGUAAUCGCGCAUCAGCCAUGGCGCGGUGAAUACGUUCCCGGGCCUUGUACACACCGCCCGUCAAGCCAUGGAAGUCUGGGGUACCUGAAGUCGGUGACCGUAACCGAGCGCCU
This 1392-nucleotide ribosomal RNA is filed under the name Chryseobacterium sp. RNAcentral's name for it is "bacterial SSU rRNA". It matches the Rfam family "Bacterial small subunit ribosomal RNA". Lineage: Bacteria; Pseudomonadati; Bacteroidota; Flavobacteriia; Flavobacteriales; Weeksellaceae. The record is from RNAcentral.